This 30-nucleotide non-coding RNA is filed under the name Mus musculus (house mouse). The record is from RNAcentral. Lineage: Eukaryota; Metazoa; Chordata; Mammalia; Rodentia; Muridae.
UGGAGUCUCAUUAUCCACACACUGAUUGGU